RNAcentral lists this ribosomal RNA (253 nucleotides) under uncultured bacterium. RNAcentral's name for it is "partial 16S ribosomal RNA". It matches the Rfam family "Bacterial small subunit ribosomal RNA", at positions 524 to 776 of the family's 1533-position model. The record is from RNAcentral.
GACGAACCGUGCGAACGUUGUUCGGAUUCACUGGGCUUAAAGGGCGCGUAGGCGGGCUUUCAAGUCCGGGGUGAAAUACUCCAGCUUAACUGGAGAAUUGCCUGGGAUACUGGAAGUCUCGAGGGAGGUAGGGGUCGACGGAACUUCCGGUGGAGCGGUGAAAUGCGUAGAGAUCGGAAGGAACGCCGGUGGCGAAAGCGGUCGACUGGUCCUCUUCUGACGCUGAGGCGCGAAAGCCAGGGUAGCGAACGGG